ACGGAAGGCAGCAGUGAGGAAUAUUGGUCAAUGGGCGAGAGCCUGAACCAGCCAAGUAGCGUGAGGGAUGACUGCCCUACGGGUUGUAAACUUCUUUUAUACGGGAAUAAAAAAGGCCACGCGUGGCCUCUUGCAUGUACCGUAUGAAUAAGCAUCGGCUAAUUCCGUGCCAGCAGCCGCGGUAAUACGGAAGAUGCGAGCGUUAUCCGGAUUUAUUGGGUUUAAAGGGAGCGUAGGCGGGUCUUUAAGUCAGUGGUCAAAGCGGGUGGCUCAACCAUACCACGCCAUUGAUACUGGAGACCUUGAGUGCACAUAAGGAUGGUGGAAUUCGUCGUGUAGCGGUGAAAUGCUUAGAUAUGACGAAGAACUCCGAUUGCGAAGGCAGCUGUCCGGGGUGUAACUGACGCUAAUGCUCGAAAGUGCGGGUAUCAAACAGGAUUAGAUACCCUGGUA
RNAcentral lists this ribosomal RNA (453 nucleotides) under uncultured Prevotellaceae bacterium. Its description in RNAcentral is "partial 16S ribosomal RNA". It matches the Rfam family "Bacterial small subunit ribosomal RNA", at positions 341 to 792 of the family's 1533-position model. The record is from RNAcentral. Lineage: Bacteria; Pseudomonadati; Bacteroidota; Bacteroidia; Bacteroidales; Prevotellaceae.